This is an RNA transcript of Scylla paramamosain (green mud crab), 934 nucleotides long. RefSeq lists it as uncharacterized. The transcript is spliced from 8 exons. Lineage: Eukaryota; Metazoa; Arthropoda; Malacostraca; Decapoda; Portunidae. The record is from RefSeq and is a predicted model, not a curated record.
GCAGCAGCGGCGUGAGGGGCACGUGUCUAUUUGACUCAUUGCUUUCUUGAAAUUUAUUUGUGUUCUGGAUGAAGGACUGCUUAAGAUGUUCCCAUGUGCUGUUCCCAACGGUCCAGCAGAUUUUUGGAGACUUAGAUGGUCGUCCCUUUACAUUUUUCGAGACUUCGCUGGUCCGACCUCGCUCGUGGUUGGAGAAGAGUACCCUUCCGCCUGUCCAACUCGUCAGUGAAGCUGCUGACGGGCGAAGACUGGACAGCGGCGGAGAUAAGAUGAAGAAAUUAAUCUGCCUCCUGCCAUUCCCACUCCGAGCACGACCGCGGAACACAGCACCGACAAGCGGCCUUCGGUCACCAUCUCGUGGCUGCUGAGUUCAUUGGUUUGUGGCAAUGCUCUCCCCUCUCGGCCUUCAAGUUUGUGAUCAAAGGAUGACGGAGCUGACCAUCCUGGCUGGCACUUGCUGAUCCUUCGGGGUAAUCUUGCUCUGAAAGAAUUGGGCUGCAUGCUUAUCUGGUCCAUGUCGCUUAACUGGGAUUUCCAAGAUUCCACAUAUGGCUUUUAUGACAACGAUCCUGCCUUCCAGCAAUAACACUUACCACCACCUACCAGCAUCACAGCCCACCAGCAACUUCAACCUCACCGACAAGGAUAGUGUGUGUGUGUGUUAAAUAAAUCAGUCAAGUGAAGGAAUGAGAUUUUGUGUGGUUAAAGGGAAUAAUUUUUAGUAUACCAGCCUCAGAUGGGUUUGGAGAGAGAGGAGAGGAGAGAGAAGUAGCUUUUUAAAUAAUUCCACAUUCAACGUGGAAUUUUUAAGCCUUUCUGUAAAGAGAGAGAGAGAGAGAGAGAGAGAGAGAGAGAGAGAGAGAGAGAGAGAGAGAGAGAGAGAGAGAGAGAGAGAGAGAGAGAGAGAGAGAGAGAGAGAGAGAGAGAGAGAGAG